UAAAUAUUUAGGCAAACUUGCUGAAAGGCAAGGACGCAAAGCUAUGGGUCUAAGGACGUUGUCUAUGACCGCCAAGCCGCCAUU
RNAcentral lists this non-coding RNA (84 nucleotides) under Dendrosporobacter quercicolus. RNAcentral describes it as "c-di-GMP-I riboswitch aptamer". It matches the Rfam family "c-di-GMP-I riboswitch aptamer". From Rfam's summary of the family: GEMM was predicted in a large-scale screen for bacterial structured RNA regulatory elements. Genes associated with GEMM are involved in a diverse array of functions, including chemotaxis regulation, signal transduction, secretion and chitin. Lineage: Bacteria; Bacillati; Bacillota; Negativicutes; Selenomonadales; Sporomusaceae. The record is from Rfam by way of RNAcentral.